CUCCAAUCCUCACAAUGUAUUUUUCUUCAAGAGGGUGUGGCUACAAUUGUUUAUUCAUUUUUACAGAAGUGUUGUAGCUGAUCUAAGGCGGCAACGUGGUGCUCUUAGGCGUCGUUGUUGAUCUUUUAUGAGCAAUGAGUGCAGUGUUAUAGUGGAGAUCCUUGUUGCAGUUGAUCAGGUCUUUGCGACGAGAGUGCUGCGAGGUUCAUUAACUAUUUGCUGGGCAGUGCUAAGAAAGGCCAAAGUAUGGGCAGUGUUGUUGUGAGGAGGCGGUUUAUCUCCGAGGGCUAGGGAAUCUUUCGUAGAUAGGAGUGGCGCUGCGCUUGGUGGAGGACUUUAUCACCGAUCUUCGACUUUCAAUUUUUUUUGUGAUCGAGAGGAGCUCCAAAUUUUGCAAAAGAAUUACAUUGGCUAAACUAGAAUCAGGCAUGGCGUUGUUGCUAGAGGUCAAGCUGUGGAAAGCAGUAACUAUUCCUUUUGGAAGAGGAGUUAUAUCUGAAUGCGGCUGGAGCGACGACAGUCUACUAGGGUUCUCUUCUUCGAUGAUUGCGGUCCAGUUGCAGUGACUACAAAUCUUAGUCAUCGACUGGAAGUAAUACGUCACGAUAUUUAUUCUUCUCUUGUUGAUGGAUUGUAGUGGUGGAGGCUAAAGGCUUGUGAUUUGGUAGUGAAUGCUAAUGCGGUGUAUUUGGAUUUUUUUUUGCUUUUCUGGCUUUGAUCUUGGAGACGUUACAACUUGCGGCGGUUGUCGCUGCAAUUAUUGUUAAAUUUUUUUAACAGUAUUUCAAUAGUUUAGAACAUCUGCGGGAUAGUCGUUCUGCUUGUAGUGGCAAUUCUAGCACAAUGCACAAGGUAGACUUGCGGUGGGGUGCAGACUUAGUUUCGUUCAUUUUUUGUUAUUUUGAGCAGUUGAUUGAAUUUUUGUUCUUUCUUGUAGUAUGCAGCAGUUGUGGAUGCAGUGUAAGAAAUAUCAAUGCGGUGCUAUGGUGGACAUCAACGAGCUAUUGUAAAUUCUGUUAGCACCUCGAGUGAGUGACUGGAUGUGAUAAUCAUCAAGUCCUAAGAAUGGUUUACAAACUAGUUUGACUCAGUAGGAUUGAUUAGAAUCAGUUUUGGAUUUCAACAUAAUCUCUUCUCUAGGCCAUACACUUGUAGUCACUGCAACAUAAAACCAGAUCAAGAGGAGUCCAGGUCGGGUGGAUUCUGAAGUGAGCAAAUGUCUCAAUCAAAGGAAUCUCUUGAUAAGAACAUUUUUUUGUAAAGUACUGAUUUUAUGGAAUGAAGUUAGGGUUUGGACAAUUUGAUGAUUGAA
Molecule: non-coding RNA, 1312 nt
Organism: Physcomitrium patens
Lineage: Eukaryota; Viridiplantae; Streptophyta; Bryopsida; Funariales; Funariaceae
Source: RefSeq, a predicted model, not a curated record